AGUGAACGCUGGCGGUAGGCCUAACACAUGCAAGUCGAACGGCAGCACAGUAAGAGCUUGCUCUUACGGGUGGCGAGUGGCGGACGGGUGAGGAAUACAUCGGAAUCUACUUUUUCGUGGGGGAUAACGUAGGGAAACUUAUGCUAAUACCGCAUACGACCUACGGGUGAAAGCAGGGGAUCUUCGGACCUUGCGCGAUUGAAUGAGUCGAUGUCGGAUUAGCUAGUUGGCGGGGUAAAGGCCCACCAAGGCGACGAUCCGUAGCUGGUCUGAGAGGAUGAUCAGCCACACUGGAACUGAGACACGGUCCAGACUCCUAGGGGAGGCAGCAGUGGGGAAUAUUGGACAAUGGGCGAAAGCCUGAUCCAGCCAUACCGCGUAGGUGAAGAAGGCCUUCGGGUUGUAAAGCCCUUUUGUUGGGAAAGAAAAGCAGCAGGUUAAUACCCCGCUGUUCUGACGGUACCCAAAGAAUAAGCACCGGCUAACUUCGUG
RNAcentral lists this ribosomal RNA (492 nucleotides) under uncultured bacterium. RNAcentral describes it as "partial 16S ribosomal RNA". It matches the Rfam family "Bacterial small subunit ribosomal RNA", at positions 29 to 507 of the family's 1533-position model. The record is from RNAcentral.